GAUGAAGAACGCAGCGAAAUGCGAUAAGUAAUGUGAAUUGCAGAAUUCAGUGAAUCAUCGAAUCUUUGAACGCACAUUGCGCCCCCCAGUAUUCUGGCGGGCAUGCCUGUUCGAGCGUCAUUUCAACCAUCAAGCCCUGCUUGUGUUGGGGUCCUGCGGCUGCCCGCAGGCCCUGAAAACCAGUGGCGGGCUCGCUAGUCACACCGAGCGCAGUAGCACAUCUCGCUCAGGGCGUGCGGCGGGCUCCAGCCGUUAAAGCACCCACCUUUCGCAAGGUUGACCUCGGAUCAGGUAGGAAUACCCGCUGAACUUAAGCAUAUCAUAAGGGAGGA
RNAcentral lists this unclassified non-coding RNA (332 nucleotides) under soil metagenome. RNAcentral describes it as "partial contains 5.8S ribosomal RNA, internal transcribed spacer 2, and large subunit ribosomal RNA". The stretch from base 1 to 120 matches the Rfam family "5.8S ribosomal RNA", at positions 35 to 154 of the family's 154-position model. The record is from RNAcentral.